AAAUUGAAGAGUUUGAUCAUGGCUCAGAUUGAACGCUGGCGGCAGGCCUAACACAUGCAAGUCGAGCGGUAGCACAGAGAGCUUGCUCUCGGGUGACGAGCGGCGGACGGGUGAGUAAUGUCUGGGAAACUGCCUGAUGGAGGGGGAUAACUACUGGAAACGGUAGCUAAUACCGCAUAAUGUCGCAAGACCAAAGUGGGGGACCUUCGGGCCUCAUGCCAUCAGAUGUGCCCAGAUGGGAUUAGCUAGUAGGUGGGGUAAUGGCUCACCUAGGCGACGAUCCCUAGCUGGUCUGAGAGGAUGACCAGCCACACUGGAACUGAGACACGGUCCAGACUCCUACGGGAGGCAGCAGUGGGGAAUAUUGCACAAUGGGCGCAAGCCUGAUGCAGCCAUGCCGCGUGUGUGAAGAAGGCCUUCGGGUUGUAAAGCACUUUCAGCGGGGAGGAAGGCGGUGAGGUUAAUAACCUCANCGAUUGACGUUACCCGCAGAAGAAGCACCGGCUAACUCCGUGCCAGCAGCCGCGGUAAUACGGAGGGUGCAAGCGUUAAUCGGAAUUACUGGGCGUAAAGCGCACGCAGGCGGUCUGUCAAGUCGGAUGUGAAAUCCCCGGGCUNAACCUGGGAACUGCAUUCGAAACUGGCAGGCUAGAGUCUUGUAGAGGGGGGUAGAAUUCCAGGUGUAG
This 686-nucleotide ribosomal RNA is filed under the name Klebsiella pneumoniae. Its description in RNAcentral is "bacterial SSU rRNA". It matches the Rfam family "Bacterial small subunit ribosomal RNA", at positions 1 to 678 of the family's 1533-position model. Lineage: Bacteria; Pseudomonadati; Pseudomonadota; Gammaproteobacteria; Enterobacterales; Enterobacteriaceae. The record is from RNAcentral.